This 325-nucleotide ribosomal RNA is filed under the name uncultured bacterium. RNAcentral's name for it is "bacterial SSU rRNA". It matches the Rfam family "Bacterial small subunit ribosomal RNA", at positions 373 to 710 of the family's 1533-position model. The record is from RNAcentral.
GGGCGCAAGCCUGAUGCAGCGACGCCGCGUGAGGGAUGGAGGCCUUCGGGUUGUAAACCUCUUUUAUCGGGGAGCAAGCGAGAGUGAGUUUACCCGUUGAAUAAGCACCGGCUAACUACGUGCCAGCAGCCGCGGUAAUACGUAGGGUGCAAGCGUUAUCCGGAAUUAUUGGGCGUAAAGGGCUCGUAGGCGGUUCGUCGCGUCCGGUGUGAAAGUCCAUCGCUUAACGGUGGAUCCGCGCCGGGUACGGGCGGGCUUGAGUGCGGUAGGGGAGACUGGAAUUCCCGGUGUAACGGUGGAAUGUGUAGAUAUCGGGAAGAACACC